CCUACGGGGGGCUGCAGUGAGGAAUAUUGGUCAAUGGGCGGGAGCCUGAACCAGCCAAGUCGCGUGAGGGAUGACGGCCCUAUGGGUUGUAAACCUCUUUUGCCGGGGAGCAAAGUGCCGCACGUGUGCGGUUUGGAGAGUACCCGGAGAAAAAGCAUCGGCCAACUCCGUGCCAGCAGCCGCGGUAAUACGGAGGAUGCGAGCGUUAUGCGGAUUUAUUGGGUUUAAAGGGUGCGUAGGCGGACUCUUAAGGUAGCGGUAAAAGUGCGGGGCUCAACCUCGUCGAGCCGUUGAAACGGGGUGCCUUGAGUGGGCGAGAAGUACGCGGAAUGCGUGGUGUAGCGGUGAAAUGCAUAGAUAUCACGCAGAACUCCGAUUGCGAAGGCAGCAUACCGGCGCCCAACUGACGCUGAAGCACGAAGGCGUGGGUAUCGAACAGGAUUAGAUACCCCAGUAGUC
This 459-nucleotide ribosomal RNA is filed under the name uncultured bacterium. RNAcentral describes it as "partial 16S ribosomal RNA". It matches the Rfam family "Bacterial small subunit ribosomal RNA", at positions 338 to 795 of the family's 1533-position model. The record is from RNAcentral.